GUUCGGAUUAACAGGCUGGUAAAACGCAUCCUGGAGGGUCUUAAUGGUUUUGUAUAGUCAGGAAAGAUGCCCUAUAUUUAAAGAAAUCCCAUCUGUGUUUUUGAUAACAUUCUGGAACAAGUUCAGUGGCGAUCUUAAGAUCCAUAUGGAUCUUAUUAUAGUCUUUCUUGCUAUGGGACUCUGUGAAUUGAGGUUUGUGCCCAGUGCACCGUGCCAAUAA
RNAcentral lists this long non-coding RNA (220 nucleotides) under Anas platyrhynchos platyrhynchos (common mallard). RNAcentral describes it as "lncRNA (ENSAPLG00000023015.1)". Lineage: Eukaryota; Metazoa; Chordata; Aves; Anseriformes; Anatidae. The record is from RNAcentral.